Molecule: ribosomal RNA, 927 nt
Filed under: uncultured bacterium
Lineage: Bacteria
Description: bacterial SSU rRNA
Rfam family: Bacterial small subunit ribosomal RNA
Source: RNAcentral
ACGCUGGCGGCGUGCCUAAUACAUGCAAGUAGAACGCACAGUUUAUACCGUAGCUUGCUACACCAUAGACUGUGAGUUGCGAACGGGUGAGUAACGCGUAGGUAACCUGCCUGGUAGCGGGGGAUAACUAUUGGAAACGAUAGCUAAUACCGCAUAAUAUUAAUUAUUGCAUGAUAAUUGAUUGAAAGGUGCAAUUGCACCACUACCAGAUGGACCUGCGUUGUAUUAGCUAGUAGGUGAGGUAACGGCUCACCUAGGCGACGAUACAUAGCCGACCUGAGAGGGUGAUCGGCCACACUGGGACUGAGACACGGCCCAGACUCCUACGGGAGGCAGCAGUAGGGAAUCUUCGGCAAUGGACGAAAGUCUGACCGAGCAACGCCGCGUGAGUGAAGAAGGUUUUCGGAUCGUAAAGCUCUGUUGUAAGAGAAGAACGGGUGUGAGAGUGGAAAGUUCACACUGUGACGGUAUCUUACCAGAAAGGGACGGCUAACUACGUGCCAGCAGCCGCGGUAAUACGUAGGUCCCGAGCGUUGUCCGGAUUUAUUGGGCGUAAAGCGAGCGCAGGCGGUUAGAUAAGUCUGAAGUUAAAGGCUGUGGCUUAACCAUAGUACGCUUUGGAAACUGUUUAACUUGAGUGCAGAAGGGGAGAGUGGAAUUCCAUGUGUAGCGGUGAAAUGCGUAGAUAUAUGGAGGAACACCGGUGGCGAAAGCGGCUCUCUGGUCUGUAACUGACGCUGAGGCUCGAAAGCGUGGGGAGCGAACAGGAUAGAUACCCUGGUAGUCCACGCCGUAAACGAUGAGUGCUAGGUGUUAGGCCCUUUCCGGGGCUUAGUGCCGCAGCUAACGCAUUAAGCACUCCGCCUGGGGAGUACGACCGCAAGGUUGAAGCUCAAAGGAAUUGACGGGGGCCCGCACAAGCGGUGG